Molecule: ribosomal RNA, 1394 nt
Filed under: uncultured bacterium
Lineage: Bacteria
Description: 16S ribosomal RNA
Rfam family: Bacterial small subunit ribosomal RNA
Source: RNAcentral
AGAGUUUGAUCAUGGCUCAGAUUGAACGCUGGCGGCAGGCCUAACACAUGCAAGUCGAGCGGUAGAGAGAAGCUUGCUUCUCUUGAGAGCGGCGGACGGGUGAGUAAUGCCUAGGAAUCUGCCUGGUAGUGGGGGAUAACGUUCGGAAACGGACGCUAAUACCGCAUACGUCCUACGGGAGAAAGCAGGGGACCUUCGGGCCUUGCGCUAUCAGAUGAGCCUAGGUCGGAUUAGCUAGUUGGUGAGGUAAUGGCUCACCAAGGCGACGAUCCGUAACUGGUCUGAGAGGAUGAUCAGUCACACUGGAACUGAGACACGGUCCAGACUCCUACGGGAGGCAGCAGUGGGGAAUAUUGCACAAUGGGCGCAAGCCUGAUGCAGCCAUGCCGCGUGUAUGAAGAAGGCCUUCGGGUUGUAAAGUACUUUCAGCGGGGAGGAAGGUGUUGUGGUUAAUAACCGCAGCAAUUGACGUUACCCGCAGAAGAAGCACCGGCUAACUCCGUGCCAGCAGCCGCGGUAAUACGGAGGGUGCAAGCGUUAAUCGGAAUUACUGGGCGUNAAAGCGCACGCAGGCGGUCUGUCAAGUCGGAUGUGAAAUCCCCGGGCUCAACCUGNGAACUGCAUUCGAAACUGGCAGGCUAGAGUCUUGUAGAGGGGGGUAGAAAUNCCAGGUGUAGCGGUGAAAUGCGUANAGAUCUGGNGGAAUACCGNNNNGAAGCGGNCCCCCUGGACAAAGACUGACGCUCAGGUGCGAAAGCGUGGGGAGCAAACAGNAUUAGAUACCCUGGUAGUCCACGCCGUAAACGAUGUCGACUUGGAGGUUGUUCCCUUGAGGAGUGGCUUCCGGAGCUAACGCGUUAAGUCGACCGCCUGGGGAGUACGGCCGCAAGGUUAAAACUCAAAUGAAUUGACGGGGGCCCGCACAAGCGGUGGAGCAUGUGGUUUAAUUCGAUGCAACGCGAAGAACCUUACCUACUCUUGACAUCCAGAGAACUUAGCAGAGAUGCUUUGGUGCCUUCGGGAACUCUGAGACAGGUGCUGCAUGGCUGUCGUCAGCUCGUGUUGUGAAAUGUUGGGUUAAGUCCCGCAACGAGCGCAACCCUUAUCCUUUGUUGCCAGCGGUCCGGCCGGGAACUCAAAGGAGACUGCCAGUGAUAAACUGGAGGAAGGUGGGGAUGACGUCAAGUCAUCAUGGCCCUUACGAGUAGGGCUACACACGUGCUACAAUGGCGCAUACAAAGAGAAGCGACCUCGCGAGAGCAAGCGGACCUCAUAAAGUGCGUCGUAGUCCGGAUUGGAGUCUGCAACUCGACUCCAUGAAGUCGGAAUCGCUAGUAAUCGUAGAUCAGAAUGCUACGGUGAAUACGUUCCCGGGCCUUGUACACACCGCCCGU